GUAAGUUAAAAAACUGUUUCUUAAUUUUUAACUAAAAAACAAAGAACUGGUUCUUAAAUAAGGAUUUUAAGAACCAGUUCUUAGCUUUUUUAGUUAAAAGUUAAGAAACACUUUCUUAACUUCC
Molecule: microRNA precursor, 124 nt
Filed under: Brassica napus (rape)
Lineage: Eukaryota; Viridiplantae; Streptophyta; Magnoliopsida; Brassicales; Brassicaceae
Description: MIR9563 microRNA precursor family
Rfam family: MIR9563 microRNA precursor family
Source: Rfam by way of RNAcentral